Molecule: long non-coding RNA, 410 nt
Organism: Monodelphis domestica (gray short-tailed opossum)
Lineage: Eukaryota; Metazoa; Chordata; Mammalia; Didelphimorphia; Didelphidae
Source: RefSeq, a predicted model, not a curated record
AUACUUUGAUCCAGAGUGGGAAGGCAUUGCGGGGAGCUGCAGCUCAGAUUGAUUUUUGUUUGCUUUUGCUGCUUCUCCAGCUUCUUUGAGAACCUGCCUCUUUUCUCUGAAGGAUCAAGAAUGGAAAUGUCCUCCCUGCUGCGGAAGGAGAAUGCUCUGAAAUCAAAUGACUCACCUCAGUGGGCAGCCUUCCUGGGGGGACUUGGAUACCUACCUCGUUGUUGGAGAGCUGAUACCAUGGCUGUUUGCCAUAGGUGAAGAUCUCCCAUAACACAACUCCCAGGCUCCAGACAUCACUUUCUGUGGUGAAUUUUCUAUACAUGAUACUCUCGGGAGGCAUCCAGCGGAUGGGCAACAUCGUAUGGCCCCCAACCUGGUAGGACAUGAAAAUAAAAAAGCAAACAAGCAAA